AAAGCUUUCGUGUGGUAAUGAGUAAUGUGUAAUGCAUGAUCAGGCAUAUGAUAAGCCUUGGGGCAAUGGACUGAUAAGAAAUGGAAGUAUUUGUCGGAUUUUCCCACAUUUAGUUGUGUGCAGUAAUAGUUUUGGAUAAAACAAUUAGAAGUCUGAUAAAUCCUUCAUCAGGGUGCUUUCCUGGUUUUGAAACCAGAAUGUUUCUCAGAAUUACAUACACAACUUACACAACCUCUCUGAUUUUAUACAGCCUAUAAAUUGAAAUGGUGAAUGUAUGUUAUUCAUUUUUCUAAACCGAUUGGAGAACAACAAAGUUUUUUUUCAGACUUUAAAUCUUACCUCCUCCAUAAUUUUCUUUUCUACUCCUUUAAGCAACUGUGUUCAAAAAUAAGGAUCAGACCGCAGAUAGCACGGGAACUCAUCGACAUGUGUCGGAUUUGUACCAGUGUUACGCCAGGCAAACCCCAGGUGACGCUGGGCUCAGACAAGGCCUUCACAUAUGAUUAUGUCUUUGACACGAAUGUCCAGCAAGAGGAUGUGUACACAACCUGUGUAGAAGCUCUUGUGAACGGAUCUCUCGAAGGUUACAAUGCAACUGUUU
Zootermopsis nevadensis is the source of this 601-nucleotide non-coding RNA. NCBI's taxonomy places the organism in Eukaryota, Metazoa, Arthropoda, Insecta, Blattodea, Termopsidae. The record is from RefSeq and is a predicted model, not a curated record.